Molecule: ribosomal RNA, 497 nt
Filed under: uncultured bacterium
Lineage: Bacteria
Description: partial 16S ribosomal RNA
Rfam family: Bacterial small subunit ribosomal RNA
Source: RNAcentral
AUUGAACGCUGGCGGCAUGCCUUACACAUGCAAGUCGAACGGUAACAGGUCUUCGGAUGCUGACGAGUGGCGAACGGGUGAGUAAUACAUCGGAACGUGCCUAGUAGUGGGGGAUAACUACUCGAAAGAGUGGCUAAUACCGCAUGAGAUCUACGGAUGAAAGCAGGGGAUCGGAAGACCUUGGACUACUAGAGCGGCCGAUGGCAGAUUAGGUAGUUGGUGGGAUAAAAGCUUACCAAGCCGAAGAUCUGUAGCUGGUCUGAGAGGCCGAUCAGCCACACUGGACUGAGACACGGCCCAGACUCCAACGGGAGGCAGCAGUGGAGAAUUUUGGACAAUGGGCGAAAGCCUGAUCCAGCAAUGCCGCGUGCAGGAUGAAGGCCUUCGGGUUGUAAACUGCUUUUGUACGGAACGAAAAGCCCCGGGUUAAUACCCUGGGGUCAUGACGGUACCGUAAGAAUAAGCACCGGCUAACUACGUGCCAGCCGCCGCGGUAA